CAGUAGCCGCGGUAAUACAGAGGGUGCGAGCGUUAAUUGGAUUUACUGGGCGUAAAGCGUGCGUAGGCGGCUUUUUAAGUCGGAUGUGAAAUCCCUGAGCUUAACUUAGGAAUUGCAUUCGAUACUGGGAAGCUAGAGUAUGGGAGAGGAUGGUAGAAUUCCAGGUGUAGCGGUGAAAUGCGUAGAGAUCUGGAGGAAUACCGAUGGCGAAGGCAGCCAUCUGGCCUAAUACUGACGCUGAGGUACGAAAGCAUGGGGAGCAAACAGGAUUAGAUACCCCGGUAGUCCCUGUCUCUUAUAC
Molecule: ribosomal RNA, 301 nt
Filed under: uncultured bacterium
Lineage: Bacteria
Description: partial 16S ribosomal RNA
Rfam family: Bacterial small subunit ribosomal RNA
Source: RNAcentral